AGGGGGAAUAACAAUGAGAAAUCAGUGCUAAUACCGCAUAAGGUUCAGUCAUCGCAUGAUGGCAGAAGGGAAAGGUGGCGGACUCGAGAGAGGCUAUCGCUGAUAGAGCGACCCGCGUCUGAUUAGCUAGUUGGUGGGGUAAAGGCCUACCAAGGCGACGAUCAGUAGCCGGCCUGAGAGGGUGGACGGCCACAUUGGGACUGAGACACGGCCCAAACUCCUACGGAAGGCAGCAG
This 236-nucleotide ribosomal RNA is filed under the name uncultured bacterium. Its description in RNAcentral is "partial 16S ribosomal RNA". It matches the Rfam family "Bacterial small subunit ribosomal RNA", at positions 135 to 354 of the family's 1533-position model. The record is from RNAcentral.